RNAcentral lists this unclassified non-coding RNA (239 nucleotides) under uncultured fungus. RNAcentral's name for it is "sequence contains ITS2". The stretch from base 1 to 52 matches the Rfam family "5.8S ribosomal RNA", at positions 103 to 154 of the family's 154-position model. Lineage: Eukaryota; Fungi. The record is from RNAcentral.
AACGCACAUUGCGCCCCUUGGUAUUCCGAGGGGCAUGCCUGUUCGAGCGUCAUUAGUACCAAUCAAGCCUGGCUUGGUGUUGGGGUUCGCGGUCCUGCGGCCCCUAAAAUCACUGGCGGUGCCGUCUGGCUCCACGCGUAGUAAUAAUCACCCGCGACGGAGACCUGGCGGUUGCUAGCCACCAACCUCAAUUUCUCAGGUUUGACCUCGGAUCAGGUAGGGAUACCCGCUGAACUUAA